Non-coding RNA from Podarcis lilfordi (Lilford's wall lizard), 73 nucleotides. The record is from the annotation of a GenBank genome assembly. Lineage: Eukaryota; Metazoa; Chordata; Lepidosauria; Squamata; Lacertidae.
ACCUUGGUAGCUUAGUCAGUCAAGCAUGAGACUCUUGAUUUCAGGGUUGUGGGUUCCAGCCCCAGGUUGGGCA